RNAcentral lists this ribosomal RNA (274 nucleotides) under Oophila sp. CT2013b-310. Its description in RNAcentral is "partial 18S ribosomal RNA". It matches the Rfam family "Eukaryotic small subunit ribosomal RNA". Lineage: Eukaryota; Viridiplantae; Chlorophyta; Chlorophyceae; Chlamydomonadales; Chlamydomonadaceae. The record is from RNAcentral.
CUGCAUCGUGACGGGGAUAGAUCAUUGCAAUUAUUGGUCUUCAACGAGGAAUGCCUAGUAAGCGCGAGUCAUCAGCUCGCGUUGAUUACGUCCCUGCCCUUUGUACACACCGCCCGUCGCUCCUACCGAUUGGGUGUGCUGGUGAAGUGAUCGGAUUGGAUUCGAGCGGUGGCAACACUGCUCGGAACCGAGAAGAUCAUUAAACCCUCCCACCUAGAGGAAGGAGAAGUCGUAACAAGGUUUCCGUAGGUGAACCGGSGGAAGGUUCAUUGAA